RNAcentral lists this ribosomal RNA (1441 nucleotides) under metagenome. RNAcentral describes it as "bacterial LSU rRNA". It matches the Rfam family "Bacterial large subunit ribosomal RNA", at positions 1461 to 2925 of the family's 2925-position model. The record is from RNAcentral.
CCACUGUAGUGACACGGAAGGUAAGACAGAGCCGGGAAUGAGAAAACCAGUGCAAGCACAAUAGAUGUGUGGGAGGAAAAACCCCCGCAUAAGUCGAAGGUGUGACGCGGACCGAAAAAGAGUAGGGAAGCUGUUAAGCAAGCCGUCAAGAAAAGCUGCUAUUGUUUCAUUAUGGCCCGUACCGUAAACCGACACAGGUGGAUGGGGAGAGAAUCCUAAGGCCGGCGGAAGAAGUAUUGUUAAGGAACUCGGCAAAAUGACCCCGUAACUUCGGGAGAAGGGGUGCCUGCGAGAGCAGGCCGCAGAGAAGAGGCCCAAGCAACUGUUUAGCAAAAACACAGGUCUAUGCAAAACCGAAAGGUGAGGUAUAUGGGCUGACGCCUGCCCGGUGCUGGAAGGUUAAGGGGAGUGGUCAGGAAACGAAGCCACGAACUUAAGCCCCAGUAAACGGCGGCCGUAACAAUAACGGUCCUAAGGUAGCGAAAUUCCUUGUCGGGUAAGUUCCGACCCGCACGAAAGGCGUAAUGAUUUGGGCGCUGUCUCGACAAUACAUCCGGUGAAAUUGAAGUGCCAGUGAAGAUGCUGGCUACCUGCGCCAGGACGGAAAGACCCCAUGGAGCUUUACUCCAGCUUGAUACUGGGACCCGGUAUUGCAUGUACAGGAUAGGUGGGAGGCUAGGAAAUGUGGACGCCAGUCUGCAUGGAGCCGCUGUUGGGAUACCACCCUUGUGGUGCUGGGUUUCUAACCAGAGGCCGUGAACCGGUCUGGGGACAAUGUCAGGUGGGGAGUUUGACUGGGGCGGUCGCCUCCGAAAGGGUAUCGGAGGCGCCCAAAGGUUCCCUCAGAAUGGUUGGAAACCAUUCGAAGAGUGCAAAGGCAGAAGGGAGCCUGACUGCGACACCGACGGGUGGAGCAGGUACGAAAGUAGGGCUUAGUGAUCCGGUGGAAUUUAAGUGGGAAUGCCAUCGCUCAACGGAUAAAAGCUACCCUGGGAUAACAGGCUGAUCACUCCCAAGAGUUCACAUCGACGGAGUGGUUUGGCACCUCGAUGUCGGCUCAUCGCAUCCUGGGGCUGAAGUCGGUCCCAAGGGUUGGGCUGUUCGCCCAUUAAAGCGGUACGCGAGCUGGGUUCAGAACGUCGUGAGACAGUUCGGUCCCUAUCCGGCGUGGGCGUAGGAUAUCUGAGAGGAGCUGUCCUUAGUACGAGAGGACCGGGAUGGACUGACCUCUGGUGUACCGGUUGGCGAUCAACGCCACGGCCGGGUAGCCAUGUCGGGACGGGAUAAACGCUGAAGGCAUCUAAGCGUGAAGCCCCCCUCAAGAUGAGAUAUCCCAUCGUAAGAGUAAGACCCCUUGAAGGCGACGAGGUUGAUAGGGCAGGGGUGGAAGUGCCGUAAGGCAUGGAGCUGACUGCUACUAAUCGGUCGAGGGCUUGACCAA